This 2033-nucleotide unclassified non-coding RNA is filed under the name Leishmania donovani. RNAcentral describes it as "gene:LdHU3.28.3270(CDS-product:glycosomal_membran e_protein-like_protein)". Lineage: Eukaryota; Euglenozoa; Kinetoplastea; Trypanosomatida; Trypanosomatidae. The record is from RNAcentral.
AGAUAGGCAUCUCCCCCACACCACCUUGACUUCCUUCGACACUGCAGCAUCCCAACACGAAGCUGCUUUUGCAAGCGAACUGUCUUGUAAGAACUUCAGCGAGAACGCAAUACUCCCCCCCACCGUCAUCAGCCGUCAGCACCAUCACUUGAGGACGUUGAGGUUCAACCGGACACAGCCCACCUCUCUUGUUCGUCUUCUUCGCUCUUGCUUCCGUCGCUCGUGCCCCUCUUGGCUUCGUUCGGCGUUAUAUCAGCACAGCCGUGCUCCGUGUUUUGUGUCUCUUGUUCACACCUACCGGCGCACAUACAUCGCGAACACGAGCAUGCUCAAGCGUUGAACAGUACCCCCUUCCUCUUCCCUCCUGUUGGUGCUGUCUCCUCCCGCUCCCUCUCUCUUCCUUCCCUCUUUCGCUUCUUCUUUUCUCCUUUGCUGCUGUUCCUGAAUUCGUGCUUCUCCGAGUUGUCCUUGUAUUCUAGUGCCUUCUUUUCCCUCUCCACGCUGCUGUGGGCGUUAUCAUCGUCGCUCCCGUCAGCGAGGGGUGCCUUACGAUCGGCAGCGCAGUGCUAGCGAUCAUCUUUCUUUCUUCGUUCUCGAACCAGCACGAAGGGGGGGGGUUGUAUACCCCGCGCACGCAUAAGGCACGAGAGCGAAGGCGACGACAUAUACGCCCACAUCCAGGUGCAGCGGAUCAGAGGGCUUUUUGCUUUUCUAGUUCACUUUUGUCGUCAUUCUGCAGUGAAGCGACACCUCAGACGACGCGAAAAUAGCGAGUGCGUGUCUGUGUACCUGUGCCUCGCUGUGCAGGCUGCAGCGGCGGCCUUUCGCCUAGGGAAAAGAGCGUGCACUUCACCAGCUACACCAUGUAGCGAAGAAAACACAAGCAUACAACAGCAAGGCAAAGAUAUCGUCAGGGAUGUCGAGAGUCGCUCUCGGCGCGUCGCGCAUUUUGGAGCGGACCGACAGCGUCGACAAGCUCAUCAAACUCAUGGCUGGCGCCUUUACCUUCUUGAGCACGACGAACUCUCUGCGGCAAGAGCAGUAUGCCAAUUCGGCUAGACAUCUCACCGAGGUACGCUCUGUUCUGCGCCUGAGCCGACUUUUCGGCCUCACGUUCAAGAUGCAGUCCGUCGUCGAGGUGUUCGCGGCACAGGGCUUCGCGUGGACGGAGCGAAAGAAGUUCUUGGAGUUCUUCAAGGCCAUCUGUGACUUUCUCUACGCCGCUGGUGACCACGCCCUGCUCGUCGCCCGUGAAGGGCUGCUGGGCAAGGACGUCGACACGGCGCAUCUGCGAAAGUGUACCUUGGCAAUGCAGCUUUUCGGUCAUUUCUUGGGUACAGUGUUCCACCUAUUCGAGCUGCUUGACGCCUCCCGAAAGCUUCAUUAUGACCCACCGGCGGCGAAGUGGGCGUGCAAGGUCGCUACCAUCAGCGCGACGCGUGAGGCGGUUGACACGGUUGUGACAUUGUCCAUCUGCAACUGCGCCGGCAGCGCGUGCCGGCUGAGUCCGCGUGUCAGCGGCACCUUGAGAUGCUUCUCUGGUGCACUUUCCAUUUAUCUGAGCUCUCAGGCGAACACCUAAUGCUCCGCCGCCGUCGCCGCCACACCACCGUGGCCAAUACAAGACGUACAUAUUUCGAGCGCGUCUGUGUGCGUGUCUGUUUUUUAUUCCCCCUUUCUUAGGCGCUUGUAUUGUUCACUUUAUCUUCUCUUCUGUAGGACGUCUCUCUGUUCCAUUUCUUUUCUCGUAUGCGCCCCCUCACUACCGCCUCCCACGCCCUCUCUCUCGCUCUGUGCGUAUGUGUGUGUGUGUGUGUGCGCACUUUCGCGACUUCGACUUGUCCCUCUGUUUCUCCCCCUCUCUCUGCCCCCUCCCCACCUCACCGCCUGUAUAUGCGCUUCCCUUCCUGUCGUUCUGUAUGCUUAGGUGUAUGCGUGGUACACUUCGAGCGCCACGGCGUGGCGCACAUAGCAGCGUUUUCUUUUUCUUUUUUUUCGCUUAGUAGGUGCGCAAACGACGUUCACGACCACUG